AAGUCGUAACAAGGUCUCCGUUGGUGAACCAGCGGAGGGAUCAUUAGAGGGUCGUCAGGCCUCCUACUGUUCUUUACCAAACCCGUGUACCUAUUGCCGGAUAUUGUCUCUGCCUCGGCGGCGGCCCCAGGGGGGGCUUCUGCCUGCCCGCCGGUUAUCCCGGCGGGCGGGUGUCGCCGGCGGCAACCUAACCACCAAACAUGAGAACAUUAUAUGAAACAAAACCUAUUACAACCUGCAACAACGGAUCUCUUGGCUCCG
This 261-nucleotide unclassified non-coding RNA is filed under the name Beauveria virella. Its description in RNAcentral is "partial internal transcribed spacer region". The stretch from base 1 to 46 matches the Rfam family "Eukaryotic small subunit ribosomal RNA", at positions 1786 to 1831 of the family's 1831-position model. The record is from RNAcentral. Lineage: Eukaryota; Fungi; Ascomycota; Sordariomycetes; Hypocreales; Cordycipitaceae.